CCAAUAGCGUAUAUUAAAGUUGUUGCAGUUAAAAAGCUCGUAGUUGAAUUUCGGGAUCAGUACGCUGGUCGUGCCUUGGUAUGUACUGGUGUUACUGGUUCCUACCUUCUGACGAACCGUCAUGUCAUUAAUUUGGUGUGGCGGGGAAUCAGGACUGUUACUUUGAAAAAAUUAGAGUGUUUAAAGCAGGCUCGCGCUUGAAUACAUUAGCAUGGAAUAAUGAAAUAGGACGUUUGAUCCUAUUUUGUUGGUUUCUAGGAUUGACGUAAUGAUUAAUAGGGAUAGUUGGGGGCAUUAGUAUUCAAUUGUCAGAGGUGAGAUUCUUGGAUUUAUUGAAGACUAACUACUGCGAAAGCAUUUGCCAAGGAUGUUUUCAUUAAUCAAGAACGAAAGUUAGGGGAUCGAAGACGAUCAGAUACCGUCGUAGUCUUAACCAUAAACUAUGCCGACUAGUGAUCGGAUGAUGUUAAUUUUUUAAUGACUCAUUCGGCGCCUUACG
Molecule: ribosomal RNA, 499 nt
Filed under: uncultured Glomeromycotina
Lineage: Eukaryota; Fungi; Glomeromycota
Description: partial small subunit ribosomal RNA
Rfam family: Eukaryotic small subunit ribosomal RNA
Source: RNAcentral